Molecule: unclassified non-coding RNA, 89 nt
Filed under: Pseudomonas antarctica
Lineage: Bacteria; Pseudomonadati; Pseudomonadota; Gammaproteobacteria; Pseudomonadales; Pseudomonadaceae
Source: RNAcentral
UGUGGGAGCGGGCUUGCUCGCGAAAGCGGCUAUUCAGUAAUGCAUCAAGUGACUGACACACCGCAUUCGCGAGCAAGCCCGCUCCCACA